GAUGAACGCUGGCGGCGUGCCUAAUACAUGCAAGUUGAACGAAGAUGUUCUUGAGUUUACUCGAGAGCUCUUAGUGGCGAACGGGUGAGUAACGCGUUGGUGACCUGCCCUAAAGAAGGGAACAACCUCGGGAAACUGAGGCUAAUACCCUAUGUGCUUCUAGAGAUUUGACGCUUUAGAAGUAAAGGUCCUGUGGACGAAAGGCCACAGUGCCGCUUUAGGAGGGGCCUGCGUACCAUCAGCUAGUUGGUAGGGUAAUGGCCUACCAAGGCGAUGACGGUUAGGGGACCUGAGAGGGUGACCCCCCACACUAGCACUGAAACACGGGCUAGACACCUACGGGUGGCAGCAGUAGGGAAUAUUGCACAAUCGACGAAAGUCUGAUGCAGCAACGCCGCGUGUGCGAUGAAGGCCUUCGGGUUGUAAAGCACUUUUCUGAGGGAAGAGAAAGGACGGUACCUCAGGAAUAAGUCUCGGCUAACUACGUG
This 488-nucleotide ribosomal RNA is filed under the name uncultured bacterium. RNAcentral's name for it is "bacterial SSU rRNA". It matches the Rfam family "Bacterial small subunit ribosomal RNA", at positions 28 to 507 of the family's 1533-position model. The record is from RNAcentral.